AACUUUGGUGUGAAGGUUUAGCUGUUGAACCUUUCCCAUGCUUCUCCAAAGCCUUCAAGAUUCCUUUGAUGAAAUCCAGAGAUUUCAUUCCUUAGCU
This 97-nucleotide small nucleolar RNA is filed under the name Brassica oleracea var. oleracea. Its description in RNAcentral is "Plant small nucleolar RNA R71". It matches the Rfam family "Plant small nucleolar RNA R71". Rfam says of the family: R71 is a member of the C/D box family of snoRNAs containing the C (UGAUGA) and D (CUGA) box motifs. Lineage: Eukaryota; Viridiplantae; Streptophyta; Magnoliopsida; Brassicales; Brassicaceae. The record is from Rfam by way of RNAcentral.